RNAcentral lists this ribosomal RNA (242 nucleotides) under uncultured Actinomycetales bacterium. RNAcentral's name for it is "partial 16S ribosomal RNA". It matches the Rfam family "Bacterial small subunit ribosomal RNA", at positions 88 to 334 of the family's 1533-position model. Lineage: Bacteria; Bacillati; Actinomycetota; Actinomycetes; Actinomycetales. The record is from RNAcentral.
UACUCGAGUGGCGAACGGGUGAGUAACACGUGGGUGAUCUGCCCUGCACUUCGGGAUAAGCCUGGGAAACUGGGUCUAAUACCGGAUAGGACGAUGGUUUGGAUGCCAUUGUGGAAAGUUUUUCGGUGUGGGAUGAGCUCGCGGCCUAUCAGCUUGUUGGUGGGGUAAUGGCCUACCAAGGCGUCGACGGGUAGCCGGCCUGAGAGGGUGUACGGCCACAUUGGGACUGAGACACGGCCCAG